CGGGGUGUAGCGCAGCGGGAGCGCACCUGCUUUGGGAGCAGGGGGUCAGAGGUUCAAAUCCUCUCACCCCGACCA
This 75-nucleotide transfer RNA is filed under the name Thermodesulfobium narugense. Its description in RNAcentral is "tRNA-Pro". It matches the Rfam family "tRNA". Rfam says of the family: Transfer RNA (tRNA) molecules are approximately 80 nucleotides in length. Their secondary structure includes four short double-helical elements and three loops (D, anti-codon, and T loops). Further hydrogen bonds mediate the characteristic L-shaped molecular structure. tRNAs have two regions of fundamental functional importance: the anti-codon, which is responsible for specific mRNA codon recognition, and the 3' end, to which the tRNAs corresponding amino acid is attached (by aminoacyl-tRNA synthetases). tRNAs cope with the degeneracy of the genetic code in two manners: having more than one tRNA (with a specific anti-codon) for a particular amino acid; and 'wobble' base-pairing, i.e. permitting non-standard base-pairing at the 3rd anti-codon position. RNAcentral also lists the same sequence under 4 other names. The record is from RNAcentral. Lineage: Bacteria; Pseudomonadati; Thermodesulfobiota; Thermodesulfobiia; Thermodesulfobiales; Thermodesulfobiaceae.